Phocoena sinus (vaquita) is the source of this 3362-nucleotide long non-coding RNA. Lineage: Eukaryota; Metazoa; Chordata; Mammalia; Artiodactyla; Phocoenidae. The record is from Ensembl.
GUCCACUCUUAACCUCCUUUGCACACCCGCUCUCUUGGAGAGACUGCAGGGGAGAAAUGUGUCUGCAGUAAAUGUGGAGAAGGAAUCUGCCAGGUGAAAAAUGUCUCUGCAAGCUUUCCUAAGGAGGAAGGGCUUGCCUUCUGUCGCUGCCUUCCUCUAGGAGUCCACGGAAGAGCUGCUGUUGGAUUACAGCUAAAUUCAGCAGGACCCACAGUUACUCUACACAGUUGAGCUAUUGGCCGGUAAAUCACUUAGCGUCUCUAAGCUUCUCUUCUUUGCCUCGGUAAAAUGCACGCACAGCUUACCUCCUCAGGUUUUGCGAGAGUUCAGUGAUGAUACGUGGUGCUUAGCACAGUGCCCGGUCAUAUCCUUGGGAGGACGCUGUCCUCGUGUUCUGCUGGUAGCCAUGGGCCUGUCGGCCAGACACUUUCAACAGAGGACCCACGUCCUAAGUGAUGGGGAUCCUGAGGAAGACAGUGUGAUGGGACAGAAAGAGAACUGGGUAGGAGUCACGACCUGGGUGUUUUAGUCCCAGCUCUGUUAGUAAUCGCCAUGUGACCUUGAGGAAGGUAUCACCCCUUCUCCGUGCUCCGUCCCUACUGAAACACUUCUCUGUCCCUAAACAGGUUACUCUGUCACUCACCAUGCCUCGAUGCACGCCAGUCCCUCAGGCAGUUGUCCUCCCCCCGUCCUGUUCUUGGUUAAUUCCUUCCUCCUCUUUCCUCUAUGAGAUCUACCCUGAUCCCCUGUGCCGGAUCAGGGCCCCCCCCCCACCGCAAUUCCAAGGCACUCGCAUUGGCAAGGCUUCGUCUCCCCUGCCUUCCCCACUGCGCUGUAACCACCUCUGUCUGAAGCUGUGCAUUUGGUGUCAAGACCAGGACGCUGCUCCAUAAACACUUGCGGAAUGGAUGCGUGAGUGAAAGAAGGAUGAGUGAAGGGUCCCUGCCGUCACCGACGUAGGUCUCGAGUGGAGAAAAAAUGAAAGAAAGUAUGUGAAAGGCUUUGAUGAGAGACGGCCUUUAGUUUUAAGUUUGUAGGAGGCACAGUGUACCUUUAGUACUAGUAUUUUAAGUUGGUUUCUCGUACUAGGAUGCAUAAGUUUUAGUGGAACAAAAAAGCAUUCUUUUUCGGUACUGUCUUCGUAGUACGGACCCAUUCUUUGUCAUAGAAACAGGACAAGCUUUAUGUGGGCCAGAGGCUCUGAUGUUUGAAACUGUGAGCGACCGAACUUCUCAUUCCACAGGGAGAGAUAAGGCUCUGAAAGCCCAAGCCCCUGGGGGGCAGCCCUGUGUGGCUUCACUCUCCCGGGCAUGAGUGGGUGGGGCAGGUCCCAGCCGCCCAGAGGACGCAGGAGGGAAAUGGGGUUCUCAGAGCAGAGGUGGGAAGCUCUGGAAGGAAGAAAAGGGGUCCUGGGGCACAGAAAAUCAACAUCGUCGACUUCCUCAGCUUCAUCACGGAGGCAGUUCAGGCAAGGAAAGAGCAGGGACUCUGGAGUCUGACAAGCCUGAGUUUGGAUCCCAGCCCCAUAUGUGGGUCUUUGCUGCACUUCAUGAGCCCUCUCGCUGGAGGUUAUGUUUCCCCAAAGCAAUGCUUGAACUCUGUCCCGUGAUAAAACGGCUCUUCCUUGGUGUUAGGUCUGUUUUUCCUUCAGAAAAUGUGUUUUUUUUUAUUGCAUGAAGAAGAGAAAGCAUGUUUAACAGGAAUAGUCGUUUCCAAUGGCCAGUCCUGAUGCAGAGCCGUAAGAUGGCCAGAGAUGACAUGAGAUCAUGUCCAUGGGUGUGCUUUGUUAACAGACAACUCUGUAGGGAUGUAUAUAUUCAUAUAUAUAUGGAAGAGCCCCGCUGCAGCUGCCUUUGCCAUUAGAAUGAGUGCACUGUGGAUCUAUUAUUCACCUCUUCAGGUCCAGCCCAGGAGUUGUGUAGGCUCAUUUUUCCCUUUCCUCUGACCCUUGAUGUCUCCACAGAUGAGCCACCUGCUGUAUCUUGGUGUGAGGGCGGAGAUGUGGGGUAAAGUAAUGAGGCUGCAAGGCCUUCCUAUGCCUGUUGGCUGCUCUAAAGGGUAGUUGAGGGACACUGCGAAGCCACAAAUCUGAGAUGUCAGCUCAUAAAUAUGUAAGCUCCUCACUUAGGUAAUAAGCUCCUUGACAGCCAAAACGGUCAUUUGCACAUUCUAGUCAGCUGAACACAAAGUUCCAGUUGCCAGCCUGUCCCUAGAUACUGGGGACUGAAAGCUGGUGAGUAGAGAGUGGGGAGGGAGGCUGGGCUGAUGGCUGCCCGCCAUGGCUGCUGUCCUCGCCCCCCGCCCCACCAUCGGGGGCUUUGUCUCUGGGUAUUUUGAUUACUAAGUGUGGGGAAGAAUUCUGCACUUGGGAUAGGAAGAGGGUUAAAUGUGUAAAUGGGGACAGGAAAAAGAGUUGCCAGCAUUUAGAUUUUAGCAGCUGUAACCGAAUCUGUCCAAAUUUCAAUCUCUGUUGUAUUAUGUUUCAAACUCUACUGGGAGUUUUAAUAAAAAUCAAAUCAGUAGUUUACGAUAUGUAUAUCUCAUUUGAAAAUAUAGGCCUGCAGUUCAGAUUCAGGGCGGGAAGCAGCUAUUUGGUACCCAAACAUUUACUGAGCGCCUAAUAUGUUAUAAGCACUUUGUAAGUUUGGGGGAUUCAAAAGUGGAUCAAGGAGAGGUACGGUUAGGACACAGCUUAAUUCUAGUGUAAUACACCAUAUGAUAAGCCACAGAGUAGGUCUGUCGGCAAAAUACGAUCAGAACAUAUGGAAGGAAAGGAUAAAUUCUCCUUUGGGCGGUAGGGAAGGAGUCCCAGGCAUUAGAGCUGAGUCUAGAAGGAUGAGUAGGGAGGUGGCAGUGAGGGGAGGGCAUUUUAGACAGGAAUUGGCUGGAGUCUCCGUUUAUACACAGAAGCAUGAAAGUGCAUGGGUGUCAUGAGAUGAUCUUCAUAUUACAUGCUUAAAACAAAAUCGUUUUUGGAGUCUCAAAAUAGGCAGUGAUUAGUAAUAGAUCCCAUUAAAUAGGGAUUAUAAUGAUGAUGAAUUAACAACUCGUAUCAGACAUGAUUCGAAAUCACAUCACAUUUUCACAGCUGAUUGGAGACAGUAGAACGUGAUUCAAGUAGUAUUGAUACAAGGGAGAGGAUGUAUAGGAAUGGCCGCACCGUGUGUUUAGAACCUUGGUUCUGUGCCUGUGUGGGUGGGUGGUCUCAGACUACUGGUUAACUCAUGAUAUCUGUGUAUCCAUUUCUAAAAAUCAUUGCUUGAAAAGGAAGAGCUGCUCAAGAGAGAGAACAGGAGAUUGAGUCCAAACAACUUGAAUUCACUUGAAAAGUCAGAAAAAGUCACUGGGAAAGUAUCUAUAUU